Molecule: long non-coding RNA, 1276 nt
Organism: Oncorhynchus nerka (sockeye salmon)
Lineage: Eukaryota; Metazoa; Chordata; Actinopteri; Salmoniformes; Salmonidae
Exons: 3
Source: RefSeq, a predicted model, not a curated record
UUCCGCAUACAUCAGAUGCGGCGGAAACACGUGGACAAACGGUGCGUAUUUUCCUUGGGCCUUUGACAACAACAGAGAUGCAGCAGUGUACAGAAAUGACGGGAGUUGUUGAUGGAAGACGAGGCGACCACUAGCUUUGGGACACAUGGAGAGCCAGAGUAUUGGUUGUGCAUCGUUCUGGUGGUUGGCGAAGGAAGUUUGGGACAGCCCUACUGAAAAGCUGCAGAUGGAAGAUUGAGAUGGAGCGUGCCCACAGGUCUGGAAAACAUGUAACCAGCCUAGGUGACUGGUCAAGUUCUAGAGGUUUAAGGACAAGAUGGCUGUUCUGGAGAGAGCCAAGAACUUGAGAGGAAUCAACAUCUUCCUCAACGAGGACUUCACAGAAGCUGUCGGCCUGAGGCGGAAAGAACUUAUCCCAGCUAUGAAAACUGCCAGAGAGCAUGGGAGCAUUGCUUACAUCCACUACGACAGGCUCAUUGUCCACCCUCCCUCCCAAAAGCCUUGUGAGGAAUGAGAUAGCCAUGCCUCAGGGUCAGUAGCUUCAGCACAACAUCACAUGCACAUAUAUUGAUUGAUUUUGUUAAGAGGUGUAUUUUCUGGGUGACCUGACGAUUGACUAGUUAGCAACUAGCUCUCCAUUCUGACUAAUGCCUGUAAUAUGAUCCAUUUUCACUCAGCCAACUAGAGUGCAUACCAAUAGUGUUGGUUCUGUUACAUCUACUUGUAUUGAUCAUAUCUUCACUAAUACUGCAAAGCUUUGCUCCAAAGCAAUACCAGCUUCCAUUGGCUGUAGUGAUUAUAACAUUGUGGCAUUAACAAGGAAAGCGUAAGUGCCAAAGGUUGGGACUAAAGUAAUUCAUAAGAGGUCAUACAAAAUGUUUCCUCGAUUCUUUUGUUGAAAAUGUAUGUUGGUCUGAUGUUUAUGAGGAAGUGAAUUCAGGUGCAGCACUGGAAGUAUUUGUAAAAAAUGUCAUGCCAACUGUUGACAAUGUACCCCAUGAUUGAUGAUGGUUCAAAGAAAGAAAUGAUGCAAAAGUUGUCUGCUCAGCUGAUUAGUUGUUGUACUCUAAAUUGAGAAAUGUUGUGACUAAACUUAACAAGAAUAAAAUAUAUUACCAAACAAAGAUAAAUACUUUGGAGUACCAUUUAUAAUAAAACCUUUAGUUAUUGCCAGUCAUUUCAAUGACUUUCAUUAGUGAAGUGGAAAAACUGAAAUGAAAACAUUGAACAGUGAACCAUCAUAUUUUUUAAUAAAGGAUUUCAUAAUGAAAGAAAA